RNAcentral lists this ribosomal RNA (505 nucleotides) under uncultured bacterium. RNAcentral describes it as "partial 16S ribosomal RNA". It matches the Rfam family "Bacterial small subunit ribosomal RNA", at positions 28 to 507 of the family's 1533-position model. The record is from RNAcentral.
GACGAACGCUGGCGGCGUGCCUAAUACAUGCAAGUAGAACGCACAGUUUAUACCGUAGCUUGCUACACCAUAGACUGUGAGUUGCGAACGGGUGAGUAACGCGUAGGUAACCUGCCUGGUAGCGGGGGAUAACUAUUGGAAACGAUAGCUAAUACCGCAUAAUAUUAAUUAUUGCAUGAUAAUUGAUUGAAAGAUGCAACUGCAUCACUACCAGAUGGACCUGCGUUGUAUUAGCUAGUAGGUGAGGUAACGGCUCACCUAGGCGACGAUACAUAGCCGACCUGAGAGGGUGAUCGGCCACACUGGGACUGGGACACGGCCCAGACUCCUACGGGAGGCAGCAGUAGGGAAUCUUCGGCAAUGGACGAAAGUCUGACCGAGCAACGCCGCGUGAGUGAAGAAGGUUGUCGGAUCGUAAAGCUCUGUUGUAAGAGAAGAACGGGUGUGAGAGUGGAAAGUUCACACUGUGACGGUAUCUUACCAGAAAGGGACGGCUAACUACGUG